AUACGGAGGAUGCGAGCGUUAUCCGGAAUUAUUGGGUUUAAAGGGAGCGUAGGUGGGUUAUUAAGUCAGCUGUGAAAGUUUGGGGCUCAACCUUAAAAUUGCAGUUGAUACUGGUUUCCUUGAGUAUGGUACAGGUGGGCGGAAUUCGUGGUGUAGCGGUGAAAUGCUUAGAUAUCACGAAGAACUCCGAUCGCGAAGGCAUCUCGCCGGGCCGGAAAUGACAAUGAUGCACGAAAGGGCGGGUAUCAAUCAGGAGUAGAUACGCUGGUAGUCCGCACAGUAAACGAUGAAUAGUCGCUGUGUGCGAUACACGGUAAGCGGCCAAGCGAAAGCGUUAAGUAGUCCGCCUGGGGAGUACGCCCGCAACGGUGAAACUUAAAGGAAUUGACGGGG
This 393-nucleotide ribosomal RNA is filed under the name uncultured bacterium. Its description in RNAcentral is "partial 16S ribosomal RNA". It matches the Rfam family "Bacterial small subunit ribosomal RNA", at positions 523 to 918 of the family's 1533-position model. The record is from RNAcentral.